This 504-nucleotide ribosomal RNA is filed under the name Triticum aestivum (bread wheat). Its description in RNAcentral is "partial small subunit ribosomal RNA". The record is from RNAcentral. Lineage: Eukaryota; Viridiplantae; Streptophyta; Magnoliopsida; Poales; Poaceae.
AUGUGGGAGAGAGAGGAGGUCCAUGGCGAAGAAGCUCUGCUCCAACCCUCCCUGCCUCCUAAUACAAGAUGUCUUUUUUUGUGUGUGCUUGUAUUGCAGCAGCCAUGCCAUGGAGGCGAUGAUGAGCACGAGGGGAAGGCCGCUGCUUCAACCCCGUUAAGCUUACGUGUGGGAUUUGCUUCGGAAGUUGUCCACGUGAGUCAAUGGGUGCUGCUUCAUGUGGGCAUCCUUUCUGUGGUGUAUGUUGGAGAGGUUACACACCUGAUGAUGUUUACAGCUAGGCGCAGGAACAAGCAGAGGCCGAGGAAGUGCAGGCACGCGCUGCUGGCCUUGGCAGGUGUAGGAACCGUGCGAGGAAGGUUCAGCGCGCUGCACAAGUCGGGCCACGCCCGAAGCGCCGCGCCAACGCAUGUGUGCGUGGUCGGUGGGUUAGCCAAGAUCUGCAUUCUGCGACUUCGUCUUCACCAUGGACACAAACAAGGACUGAUUGGUGGUUCUUGGUAG